CCUACGGGAGGCAGCAGUGAGGAAUAUUGGUCAAUGGGCGCGAGCCUGAACCAGCAAAGUAGCGUGAAGGAUGACUGCCCUACGGGUUGUAAACUUCUUUUAUAAAGGAAUAAAGUGAGGCACGUGUGCCUUUUUGUAUGUACUUUAUGAAUAAGGAUCGGCUAACUCCGUGCCAGCAGCCGCGGUAAUACGGAGGAUCCGAGCGUUAUCCGGAUUUGUUGGGUGUAAAGGGAGCGUAGAUGGGUUGUUAAGUCAGUUGUGAAAGUUUGCGGCUCAACCGUAAAAUUGCAAUUGAUACUGGCAGCCUUGAGUACAGUUGAGGUAGGCGGAAUUCGUGGUGUAGCGGUGAAAUGCUUAGAUAUCACGAAGAACUCCGAUUGCGAAGGCAGAUUACUAAACUGCCACUGACAUUGAUGCGCGAAAGUGUGGGUAUCAAACAGGAUUAGAUACCCGAGUAGUC
RNAcentral lists this ribosomal RNA (460 nucleotides) under uncultured bacterium. RNAcentral describes it as "partial 16S ribosomal RNA". It matches the Rfam family "Bacterial small subunit ribosomal RNA", at positions 338 to 795 of the family's 1533-position model. The record is from RNAcentral.